CUACGGGUCGCUGCAGUGAGGAAUAUUGCACAAUGGGGGAAACCCUGAUGCAGCAACGCCGCGUGGAGGAUGACGCAUUUCGGUGUGUAAACUCCUUUUAUGAGUCAAGAAAAUGACGGUAGCUCAUGAAUAAGCACCGGCUAACUCCGUGCCAGCAGCCGCGGUAAUACGGAGGGUGCAAGCGUUACUCGGAAUCACUGGGCGUAAAGGACGCGUAGGCGGGAUGUCAAGUCAGGUGUGAAUUCCUAUGGCUCAACCAUAGAACUGCACUUGAAACUGGCAACCUAGAGUAUGGGAGGGGGAGAUGGAAUUAGUGGUGUAGGGGUAAAAUCCGUAGAUAUCACUAGGAAUACCGAAAGCGAAGGCGAUCUCCUGGAACAUUACUGACGCUAAGGCGUGAAAGCGUGGGGAGCAAACAGGAUUAGAUACCCUAGUAGUC
Molecule: ribosomal RNA, 439 nt
Filed under: uncultured bacterium
Lineage: Bacteria
Description: partial 16S ribosomal RNA
Rfam family: Bacterial small subunit ribosomal RNA
Source: RNAcentral